This 497-nucleotide ribosomal RNA is filed under the name uncultured bacterium. RNAcentral's name for it is "partial 16S ribosomal RNA". It matches the Rfam family "Bacterial small subunit ribosomal RNA", at positions 28 to 507 of the family's 1533-position model. The record is from RNAcentral.
GAUGAACGCUGGCGGCGUGCCUAAUACAUGCAAGUCGAGCGAACAGACGAGGAGCUUGCUCCUUCGACGUUAGCGGCGGACGGGUGUGUAACACGUAGGUAACCUACUUAUAAGUCUGGGAUAACUUCGGGAAACCGGAGCUAAUCCCGGAUAAUAUUUUGCACCGCAUGGUUCGAUAGUGAAAGAUGGCUUUGCUAUCACUUAUAGAUGGACCUGCGCGGUAUUAGCUAGUUGGUAAGGUAACGGCUUACCAAGGCAACGAUACGUAGCCGACGUGAGAGAGGGGUCGGCCACACGGGAACUGGAACGCGGACCAGGCUCCUACGGUAGGCAGCAGUAGGGAAUCGGCCGCAAUAGGGGAAAGCAUGGCGGAGCAAGGCGGCGUGAGUGAUGAAGGUCUUCGGAUCGUAAAACUCUGUUAUUAGGGAAGAACAAACGUGUAAGUAACUGUGCACGGCGUGACGGUACCUAAUCAGAAAGCCACGGCUAACUACGUG